This is a non-coding RNA of Labrus bergylta (ballan wrasse), 1812 nucleotides long. Lineage: Eukaryota; Metazoa; Chordata; Actinopteri; Labriformes; Labridae. The record is from RefSeq and is a predicted model, not a curated record.
AAAGAAUUUCAACAUUGAUAUUUAUGUCGUCCUAUUUCCCUCUUUUCACCAACAUUAUAUUUUAAACAGGGAUUUCAUUUUUCUCUGGUCCCUCGUCUCUCCUCCAGCUCGCUGUAGGACGCUUUGAUUGGGGGAACUCACCAAUAAAAUACUAUUUUAUAUACAUACAGCAUGUUGAUGAAAUAUUGAAUUAUUAUUUUGCAACAGACUUAGACUUUUUAGACUUUAUUGUCAUGGGGAAAUUAUUUUUCACAGCACUGUUAUGGUCAACACAGACAAUUUCCACCAAUGAACAUACAUUAUACAGUAUAACACAAACAGAGUUAGACAAUAAUUAACACAAUAGUUUUCAUUUAAACCCCUUAUGUAACCAAGCUGUCUAAAUUACUGUUAAGGAAAUAUGGCUGACAAAAUGAUUCAUACUUUGCAUUGCACACAGUACAUCAUUUUAUAAAUAAUAUGAAGCUCUAUUAUUAUAUUUUUGCACAGUUUUCCUUUAGGUGGUGGUGACACAGGCAGACUGGAGCAGUGGGUGGUGAACAUGAGACAGAAGGACUGGAGACCUACACCAUCAUCUCGUCUUUGCAGUGUUCAUUUUGAAGAGCAUGCCUUCACCAUGGACUCAAAGGGAAAUCGUUACCGACCACAGCUGUCCCUAUUCUGUUUCCAAGUCAUCAUUUGAGGACUUCUGGUGCAAAACGCAGGAUUUUGGAUAGUUGUGACACCAAGAUAAAUCCCCUGUCAUUUUCAAAUAGCAGGUUUUCUGGUGACAAUAAAGAGGAUUCAAUAGUGGACCAAUGCUACAUCAGCUUCUGCUGCCGAUUAAGAAGAAGAUUUACUUUAUUGAAAUUUCAGUUUUUACACUCUGUAGUCAUGCAACACACACAUGCACACAAACAGGAUCAUAUGGACAUGCACUAAUGGAGAGAUGGAGCUGCCCACAGUGGGGAGGGGGCACCUUGGCUUGGUGCUCAGAAGGUGAUCUGGCACCUCUCCAGCUACCAGACCAACUUCCAAACUUGGUCUGCACCGGGACUUGAACCGGUGACCCUCCGGUUCCCAACCCAAGUCCCUACAGACUGAGCUACUGUCAGGCUGACACCGCUGUAACAGUGGAUAGAAAUAUAGAAGAUCAUAGUUACACUGUUUAAGUUUCACAGUUGUACUGUGAGUAUCGAAAUAAUAACUCAACAGGAGACACUGUGGUGCAGUGUAGUUCUCUCAUUUGUUAUCUGCAGCUGCAGUAUCUUGUUUUACCACUUCAACUUCAUCAUCACACCUCAUUAUAUUGGACCGCCUGCACUUGACGCUUUUGUGAAUAAGAAUGGUCAAAAGACGUUUCACACACUCCCUUUCUGUGACACGCUGAGAGCCUGAAGCAGAACGCCUGAGUUAACAGACAAAGUUCAUAAUCAGCUCAUGCUAUCAGAUAUCUUUAUCUGCAGCUUCUGGCUUUGCUGAACCAGCUUUCUCAAAGAAAACCUGGAUAUGUUGAACUUGCUUCAGAUACAACAAAUGAUCAAUUUACUGAUCAAUAACCUAAACAGCCAAAUACCGCCACCUAGUGUUUAAAGUGAGAUUUGUCUAAACUAAAUGUGUUGAUGUGUUUGCACUUCAGAAAUAAAAUAAAAAAUCCAUGGCUAACAAAAACCAGUAUAAACCGGUUCUGCUCAUCUGUCUGUCCCUGUCCAUAGGCUCACUGACUUGAAGAGAGAGGACACUUGGCUUCAAUGUACGAGACACACAAGUCCCAGAUUGAAUCACUCUAUCAGAAGAUGCUCUCAGAUUCAGAUCCAUCAGCAACCCCUGACA